RNAcentral lists this long non-coding RNA (915 nucleotides) under Brassica napus (rape). RNAcentral's name for it is "long non-coding RNA (BNAP_LNC021117)". Lineage: Eukaryota; Viridiplantae; Streptophyta; Magnoliopsida; Brassicales; Brassicaceae. The record is from RNAcentral.
GAGCAGGAGCAGGAGGGGAAGCUUGAGCGGGAGCUGGAGGGGAAGGUUGUGUCUGGCUGUUAGGUACAGCCGAGCUCUCAGCCAUCUGAGAAUUAGAAGAACUUCCCGGAUUGCUACGACGGGAUGAACUCUUCUUACUGCCAUAACUCUUCCUACUACCAGCAGACAGAUAUCGGGUAUAAUCAUUUCCUGACAUCUGCAAAGAAAUAAAUAUAAAGAUUAAUACAAUAAUUUAAAAUUUUUAGAAACAGAGAGGGGGUUUGUUGUCGUCGUUUUGUUCACUUGAAGUUCAUGAAGACCCUCUAAAGCAGUCAGAGGGAUAUGCGCACAGCCAGAAUGAAGACCCUCUAUACCAGCGAGAGGCAUAUGUUUGAGUUUCGAAGACCCAAAAAAUCUUAACUGAAUACACAUGCCUGGUCGAUUAGGAGAAUGCAAGAAAUUUAGAAAAUGUAAUUUAGUUGGGAAGAAUUAGAAGAUUAACAUGUAAAUAAUUAUUAAACACAAAACCUGAUUAUUAUUCUUAAUAAUAGGUUAAUAGACAACUUCAGGAGUUUUGUUUUGUUUUAUUAUAUAACAAGAACAAGGAGACUGAAAAUGGAGUCAGUCGAUCAACUCUAAGAAUACAAUACAUACAAUCAGCAUUGCUUUAUUUUCGAAUUGAAAACCCUAACCACAGAAUCAUAACCUAAAAAAUUGAAAACCCUAACCACAGAAUCAUCAUCACAAAUCCAUAACCUAAACUAUAAUUAAAACCUAAAAAAAUAAUAAUGAAGUCAGAUAGAGCAACCUUGAGGAGAGAGAUCCGGCAAGGCUGAGGCGAAGAUCCGGCGAGGCAGCGGCGAGAAGGAGAGGCGGAGAGAGAGAAUACACGGCGAGGGAGAGGCGGAGGAGAGAGGGCACGGCAAGGGAGAGGCA